UCUUGCGCAAUGGGCGAAAGCCUGACGCAGCAACGCCGCGUGCGGGAAGAAGGCCUUCGGGUUGUAAACCGCUGUCAGGAGGGACGAAGCCACUCAGGUGAAUAGCCGAGAGGGUGACGGUACCUCCACAGGAAGCCCCGGCUAACUACGUGCCAGCAGCCGCGGUAAUACGUAGGGGGCUAGCGUUGUCCGGAAUCAUUGGGCGUAAAGCGCGUGUAGGCGGCUUGCCAAGUCCGAUGUGAAAGCUCGGGGCUCAACCCCGAGUCUGCAUUGGAAACUGGCUUGCUUGAGUCCGGAAGAGGAGACUGGAAUUCCUGGUGUAGCGGUGAAAUGCGCAGAUAUCAGGAAGAACACCGGUGGCGAAGGCGGGUCUCUGGGACGGUACUGACGCUGAGACGCGAAAGCGUGGGGAGCAAACAGG
This 421-nucleotide ribosomal RNA is filed under the name uncultured bacterium. RNAcentral describes it as "bacterial SSU rRNA". It matches the Rfam family "Bacterial small subunit ribosomal RNA", at positions 362 to 776 of the family's 1533-position model. The record is from RNAcentral.